RNAcentral lists this non-coding RNA (25 nucleotides) under Cricetulus griseus (Chinese hamster). The record is from RNAcentral. Lineage: Eukaryota; Metazoa; Chordata; Mammalia; Rodentia; Cricetidae.
UACACACUAGAAUUUUAUACACGGG